This 649-nucleotide long non-coding RNA is filed under the name Medicago truncatula (barrel medic). Its description in RNAcentral is "lncRNA gene14199". The record is from RNAcentral. Lineage: Eukaryota; Viridiplantae; Streptophyta; Magnoliopsida; Fabales; Fabaceae.
AAAUGUAACAGUAUUAUUAUGACACGUACAUAAAAUCACAGGCUUAGAAGUAACAAAACUGUUUUGUAAACUUAACUAUUACAGAUAUUAUAAUGAGCGGUAUGGUGGAAAAGAAAAUGUGAUAUCCUUAAAUUGGAGUUCAUGGGGAUAUUAUAAUUGGAUUUCAUUAUCAUAAUUUUAGAGAGCUAUUAUAUCACUAAAAAGUUUUUGAAAUAAUAAAAAGGAAAAAAAAAAACAUUUUUUUGGGUGGCAAGAAAAUAACUAAAUGACAGCUUGUGGAACAUUAUAGCAGAGCAUUUGUGUUCUAUUUUGGGUCUGAAACUAAAUGAAGAAUUAUGUGAGCACAUGAUAGUUUCACCACCUUUUAUAACAAUGAUUGCAAUAUCCAUCCUCACACCCCGGUUUAUAACCAGGGGGACACAUAUUUUGUGGACAAUCAGAACCAGUAUUACAUGGAUAAGGCCCUGUAACAAAAAAAAAAAGACAAUAAAAAGUGUAACUAAAAUGGGAUAAUAUAUUGUGUCGAAAGUAGAGAAUAAAAUCUUAACUGGUUAAAAAUGGUUUACUUCCUCCCUUCGUUGCAACCAAAAAUAGGGAAACAAAGAUAAUCAUACUAUAAACAAAAUUGACAAUUUUAGCCAUAUUCCCC